AACGAACGCUGGCGGCGUGGAUUAGGCAUGCAAGUCGAGCGAGAAAGGGGAGCAAUCCCUGAGUAAAGCGGCGAACUGGUGAGUAACAGGUGGGCAAUGUGCCCCAAAGUGGGGGAUAACUCCGAGAAAUCGGAGCUAAUACCGCAUGUGGUGCCAUAGGCUUCGGCUCGUGACAUUAAAGAAGGGCUCCGCAAGGAGCAAUUCGCUAUGGGGAUCGGCCCGCCCCGGAUAGCUAGUUGGUGAGGUAACGGCUCACCAAGGCAACGAUCCGUAGCUGGUCUGAGAGGAUGGUCAGCCACACUGGAACUGAGAUACGGUCCAGACUCCUACGGGGGGCAGCAGUCUAGAGGCUUCGGCAAUGGGGGAAACCCUGACCGAGCGACGCCGCGUGUGGGAUUGAAGGCGUUUUCGUUGUAAACCACUGUGUAAGGGGAAGAAUGCCGGGAUGGCGAA
This 453-nucleotide ribosomal RNA is filed under the name uncultured bacterium. Its description in RNAcentral is "bacterial SSU rRNA". It matches the Rfam family "Bacterial small subunit ribosomal RNA", at positions 29 to 464 of the family's 1533-position model. The record is from RNAcentral.